GUCAACAUCAAGUGCCUCAUCAGUCUCCGACAAAGUUCAGUUUUUACCGAGUUCCAAGGACUUAACUACCACCAGACAAAUGUAAUGGUUUUCCACAGACACACCAUUUUCGGACACCACCACAAAAGGAUGCCUGAUGCGAGGAUGUCUUUUCCAACAACAGGCCAGCUGCAGACACACCGUCAUCAGAUGAAGUCUACCUCUCUUUAUGUAGAUGCAUGAAGCCGACCAUCAAGAUGCAAGGAUGUCUUCAUCAACAGGCUAGCUGCAGACACACCAUCAUCAGAUGAACUCUACCUCUCCAUAAGAAGUAGAUGCAUGAAGCUUACCAUCAAGAUUCAAGGAUGUCUCUUUUUACAGGCAAGCCACAGACACACUAUUGUUGGAAACCACCACAAAAGGAUACCUGAUGCGAGGAUGUCUAUUCCAACAACAGGCUAGCUGCAGACACACCAUCAUCAGAUGAAGUCGACCUCUCCAUCAGAAGUAGAUGCGUGAAGCCCACCAUCAAGAUUCAAGGAUGUCGUCAUCAACAGGCUUCACUUACACAGACACGUCAUUGUCAGAUGAAGUCUACUUCUCCAGAAGUACAUACAUCUCCAGCAACAGGCUACCUGCGGACAUACCUAUGUCGGAUAAAGUCUUCCUCUCCAGAAGAAGAUAUAUACAUGAAGCUUACCAUCAAGGUUCAAGGAUGUCUUAAUCAACAGAUAAACUUGAUACAGACAUGACGAUUUCAGAUGAAGUGUACCUCUCCAAAAGAUGCAUGAUGCAAAUGCUGCCGUGACAGAUGUGGUCUGUACGCUAUGUCUACCUCUUCAACGGCGAGGGUCGCAUACUCCAGAGAGGUCUACUCAUCAACCAAGUAGAUGUCUGAGACCUGCAGCUGAUACGCUUCCUAACAAUGUACAAGUCUGGAAAAUGAACUGCUCUCGCCUUGAUAAAAGGUGUGCCAUGAUAUCUACUAGUCGAUUCCUGACACCUGCAACAGUGCCCACUAAGUAUCAAACAACCGAACAGAGGUACAUGUAAAUUCCAUGUAGGUGUUUUACACUAACAUCAAAAAGUGGUCUGUUUUUGCAGCACUUAUACAAACAGAAUACCUCACAUGCCACAACAUUGAUGGGGAGUUUAUGCGGACACCAGUCUAACCCAUUAUGCGUGGCUGGUCCCUACAGAUUGAUUACAGAUUUAAAAAAUAGUAAACAUGUUUAUGAUUAACAACACCCUUAUACAUGUUAUAUAAUUAAUUGAGCACAUUCCUUAAAAAGCAUACUAUUGUAAAAGUUGUUUGUAUGGUACAGAUAUGGAUGUUUUGUAGAGUUGAAGAUCGAAAUGCCAAAGUUUUGUGUAAUACUAAUUAUAUAGGUUGCAAUAAAUAUCAAAAUAUUAUCAUUUCAUAUAUAUGAAAGAUACAUUUUUGUGUAAGUAAAAGUUGUAAGUAAAACAAACAGGUUUAUUUAAGAAACCAAGUAACAUUUAUGGUUCUUGAGAUUAACCUUGCAAGGGUAAAUUGAUACCACCAGGAGGGCCUGGUCAUUUGACCUUUCCAUUUUGCAAUUUGCCUAAUUUUGUACGACUACAUGUCUGUUUUCGGUAAUUUUUCAUAGCACUUCAUUCUUGAAGGCUUUUUGAGGGAGAAAUCUAAAAUGGAAGCAUAAAAUAUUGUUCAGGUUAUUCAAAACAUCAAGUAAUUGUGGAUAAACAACUUUUGGACUCACUUGAUUUGUAAGAUUUAAGAAAGUUUAAUUGAUGUUAAGUAAGUCCCAGGGCCCAAUUUCAUAGAGCUGCUUAGCGGUAGAUUUUGUGCUGAACGGGCGCACCUAGCGAAGUAAACGAGUGUCUAAAAUACUUCAGAAAUGGUGUAGAAUGUAUCUUCUACUUGUUUACUAUCAAGUCAUUUUAAGGGGCGCUUUAAACCACUACAAACAAUACAUAUCAGACAGAGAAGGUGAUGAUUUUUUUUAUCGCCACUCUGCAUUUAUUUCGCCCUUCAUUUUGUCAGCACCUUCUUCUUUUUUGCCUAAGCAACCGAUCUAAAAUGGUGUGCCUCAGUUUGUUUACAUGCUUAAGCCAGCAACCGCUCGUUAAACAGGUUUACGUUUAAGCAAUCAUUUUUGCUAUGAUAAGCAAAACAACUUGCUUGCCAUUAAGCAGCUCUAUGAAAUUGGACCAUGAUGCAAUCCUACCCAUUGUUUGUUUAGGAAUGUUUAUUGUAAAAGUAAGCUCAACAUUUACAAGCAAAGCACACAUUGUGGUAUUUGAAGUUGGAGAUCAUUGAUUAAAUGUAUCUAAUUUAUAUAACUGGGAUGGAUUUCACAAAGAGUUAGGACUAGUCUUAUCUCGAGUUAGGACAAGUUACUCAUCCUAACUUAG
Molecule: long non-coding RNA, 2376 nt
Organism: Asterias rubens (European starfish)
Lineage: Eukaryota; Metazoa; Echinodermata; Asteroidea; Forcipulatida; Asteriidae
Exons: 11
Source: RefSeq, a predicted model, not a curated record